Pteronotus mesoamericanus is the source of this 107-nucleotide small nuclear RNA. NCBI's taxonomy places the organism in Eukaryota, Metazoa, Chordata, Mammalia, Chiroptera, Mormoopidae. The record is from RefSeq and is a predicted model, not a curated record.
GUGCUUGCUUCAGCAGCACAUAUAUUAAAGUUGGAACAAUACAGCGAAGAUCUGCAUGACCCCUGAGCAAGGAUGAAAUGCAAAUUCAUGAAACAUUCCACAUUAAA